This 228-nucleotide long non-coding RNA is filed under the name Hordeum vulgare. Its description in RNAcentral is "long non-coding RNA (HVUL_LNC007345)". The record is from RNAcentral. Lineage: Eukaryota; Viridiplantae; Streptophyta; Magnoliopsida; Poales; Poaceae.
CCACAGUAGAUAGAAAACUUGGGUCGCCUAUUAAGCCGUAAUAUAGACACCGGGAACAUCUAAAUGGGUGUUUGGAUUGAUUUCGACUAGUCCUAUAUGUUCAUGAGUCCUUCUAGUCUUUUUCGGCUGGAACCAAUAACAUUUGAAGACUACGACGUUCGGUGGGUUUUCACCAUACAAUUGAAGUUCAUAAAUUGCUUCAACUCUUCCAUAAUACUCGAUAACACC